UACGUAGGGUGCAAGCGUUGUCCGGAAUUAUUGGGCGUAAAGGGCGCGUAGGCGAUUCGAUAAGUCUCAUGUGAAAUCCCAGGGCCUAACCCUGGAAUGGCAUGGGAUACUGUUGGAUUUGAGUUCCGGAGAGGAAGGCAGAAUUCCCGGUGUAGCGGUGAAAUGCGUAGAUAUCGGGAGGAAUACCAGUGGCGAAGGCGGCCUUCUGGACGGAUACUGACGCUGAGGCGCGAAAGCCAGGGGAGCAAACGGG
RNAcentral lists this ribosomal RNA (253 nucleotides) under uncultured bacterium. Its description in RNAcentral is "partial 16S ribosomal RNA". It matches the Rfam family "Bacterial small subunit ribosomal RNA", at positions 524 to 776 of the family's 1533-position model. The record is from RNAcentral.